RNAcentral lists this ribosomal RNA (20 nucleotides) under Peziza arvernensis. RNAcentral describes it as "partial 28S ribosomal RNA". Lineage: Eukaryota; Fungi; Ascomycota; Pezizomycetes; Pezizales; Pezizaceae. The record is from RNAcentral.
GGGUGACCUCAGAUCAGGUA